Molecule: long non-coding RNA, 573 nt
Organism: Saccostrea cuccullata (small rock oyster)
Lineage: Eukaryota; Metazoa; Mollusca; Bivalvia; Ostreida; Ostreidae
Exons: 5
Source: RefSeq, a predicted model, not a curated record
UCAAUUAAUGAAAAUGAAAGAGACAGGUCUUGUGAAAUAUUGGAACAAAAUUUAUGAAGUCUGACUAGAGGGAUUCCAUCUAUUCUAAAAACCCAUACGUACAUUAUGAUGCAAAUGGAAGAAAACAUUAAAAAGCAGUGGAUACGGCCACCGGGAAAUCAGUAGGAAUGGAUUUACCCUAGGCACAGAUGUACCAAUACAGUUCGAACUAUGAAAAUAAAGAUGAAAAGAUACAUUGAGAAUUCAUUUUCAGUAAAAAGCAGAACUGUGCCACAGGAGCAUCACCUGUGAAAGGUUACAAAUGAUACAAAUGACACCAAUAAAGGAUAUAUGAGCAACUGUUAAUAUAUACCAGAAACAGGAGGCAGUUACAAAAUCAAUAAACAAAGACAGAAAACUUGCAAGUGAUCCUGCAUGAGAACUGAACACCAGACAGUAUCGUUACCAAACAGUAUUCUUUUGGAGGGAAUUCUGUUUAAAGAAAUUGGAUGGAAAAAGUCAAAGAUGGUUAUUUCAAGUGUCACUUUUUAAACCCACUUUCUUCACUGGACAGCACUAACACCACAUACAGCA